Molecule: ribosomal RNA, 497 nt
Filed under: uncultured marine bacterium pM-54
Lineage: Bacteria; Pseudomonadati; Pseudomonadota; Alphaproteobacteria
Description: bacterial SSU rRNA
Rfam family: Bacterial small subunit ribosomal RNA
Source: RNAcentral
GGAGGGUGCAAGCGUUAAUCGGAAUUACUGGGCGUAAAGCGCGCGUAGGCGGCUCUUUAAGUCGGAUGUGAAAGCCCCGGGCUCAACCUGGGAACUGCAUCCGAUACUGGGAGGCUAGAGUGUAGGAGAGGGAGGUAGAAUUCCAUGUGUAGCAGUGAAAUGCGUAGAUAUGUGAGGAAUACCAGUGGCGAAGGCGGCUCUNUGGCUUAACACUGACGCUGAGGUCCGAAAGCGUGGGGAGCAAACGGGAUUAGAUACCCCGGUAGUCCACGCCGUAAACGAUGUCUACUAGCUGUAGGGUACUUGAGACCUUUGUAGCGCACGUAACGCACUAAGUAGACCGCCUGGGGAGUACGGCCUCAAGGUUAAAACUCAAAUGAAUUGACGGGGGCCCGCACAAGCAGUGGAGCAUGUGGUUUAAUUCGAUGCAACGCGAAGAACCUUACCAGGCCUUGACAUCCUCGGAACUUUCUAGAAAUAGAUUCCUGCUUCGGGAA